RNAcentral lists this long non-coding RNA (594 nucleotides) under Daucus carota (carrot). Its description in RNAcentral is "long non-coding RNA (DCAR_LNC004430)". The record is from RNAcentral. Lineage: Eukaryota; Viridiplantae; Streptophyta; Magnoliopsida; Apiales; Apiaceae.
UUUGUAUAAUAUUUUGUCUCGGUAAAAUCAAAAUAACUUUGGACACAUGCGAUACGUUAGUAUCCCUGGCUCCCACUCUAAAGUUGAUCUGUCGAGGAAACAAAUAAUGAGUCGUAAUUCACCACUCUUUUUCUCUCAAACUCUGUGAAUCCGACAUCUCAGUUAAAAUUAAAGAAAAAUGUGUUAUGUGGGGAAAGCAACAAAGAUCUUCCUCUUCCUACUCACUGCUGCUAUCAUCACUGCUCUCUUCCUAGGAUUCCGACAUUUCCGUCGUAGCAAGUCACACAAUUGUACUUCUGAUGUUAACGAUGAUCUUUCUUGCCACCUUACAGCUUCCAACCCGCCACCUCAGGCGUCUCCGUCGCUUCCAGCUACGACAAAUGCGCCACCACCGGCUACUGCUCCUCCACCUCCAGUGUUAGUCACUCCAGCUCCGCUUAAUUCGUCGUAGCUCCACCAGUUAGUAGUCAUCAAUCUACAUUUCUCCGAAUUGUCUUGUUAUUUUGUGAUCGCCUAUGAAAAGCUUUGUACUUUUAGUUGGAAAUGAAAGAUCGAUUAAAUCAUUCUAAAAAUGUUUCGGUUUUAUCGUUCCCA